Molecule: ribosomal RNA, 646 nt
Filed under: Brevundimonas vesicularis
Lineage: Bacteria; Pseudomonadati; Pseudomonadota; Alphaproteobacteria; Caulobacterales; Caulobacteraceae
Description: bacterial SSU rRNA
Rfam family: Bacterial small subunit ribosomal RNA
Source: RNAcentral
GCUACACAUGCAGUCGAACGAACUCUUCGGAGUUAGUGGCGGACGGGUGAGUAACACGUGGGAACGUGCCUUUAGGUUCGGAAUAACUCAGGGAAACUUGUGCUAAUACCGAAUGUGCCCUUCGGGGGAAAGAUUUAUCGCCUUUAGAGCGGCCCGCGUCUGAUUAGCUAGUUGGUGAGGUAAAGGCUCACCAAGGCGACGAUCAGUAGCUGGUCUGAGAGGAUGAUCAGCCACAUUGGGACUGAGACACGGCCCAAACUCCUACGGGAGGCAGCAGUGGGGAAUCUUGCGCAAUGGGCGAAAGCCUGACGCAGCCAUGCCGCGUGAAUGAUGAAGGUCUUAGGAUUGUAAAAUUCUUUCACCGGGGACGAUAAUGACGGUACCCGGAGAAGAAGCCCCGGCUAACUUCGUGCCAGCAGCCGCGGUAAUACGAAGGGGGCUAGCGUUGCUCGGAAUUACUGGGCGUAAAGGGAGCGUAGGCGGACAUUUAAGUCAGGGGUGAAAUCCCGGGGCUCAACCUCGGAAUUGCCUUUGAUACUGGGUGUCUUGAGUAUGAGAGAGGUGUGUGGAACUCCGAGUGUAGAGGUGAAAUUCGAGAUAUUCUGAAAACACAGUGGCAAGGUAACACUGGCUCGUUAUGCGGUGA